Non-coding RNA from Aegilops tauschii subsp. strangulata, 5138 nucleotides. Lineage: Eukaryota; Viridiplantae; Streptophyta; Magnoliopsida; Poales; Poaceae. The record is from RefSeq and is a predicted model, not a curated record.
GGAUGUAGAGGGUGACCACCAGCAGGGCUAUGGCGAGAACUGAGACUACACAUAUGCCCGCAGAUGCAGCGAGGGAGGAGAGCAGGGGAGCCAUGAUCAGAGCUAGGUGCUGCUUGCUGAGAGUUUUGGACAGUGUCGUAGAAAAUGGACAAUCUGUGUUCAAACUAUCUCCAUGAUCAUUUUGGCUUCAAGGCUUUCCUAGCAACCAAGAUCUCCAUAUGCAUAUACCAUGUCACACUGCUGUUUCGGGACAACCGAGAUUCAACUUGCAAUUCACCAAAAUUUUGGUCUCCGGUAUAUGUCGCCGACAUGUGGGCGCGUACCCACAGUGCUGGCUAGUACAGUGUCAUAUCUAAUUUGUGUUGUAUUUGCAGAGUUUCCCGCUAAUUCUCUGAUUCUAAUGCAGGGCAUUAUUGUAAUGUUAGGAACCAAUUUGCAUUGUUGUAUCAGCAAACAGAGUAGAGGACGUCAGGGGAGGCAGUGACAUAGCUGAUUCCGUGGGCAUGAGUUCAGCAAAACUGGAUAUUAGUUUGCUCUCAUUAACUGGAACGGCAACUUGCAUUGACAGCAAAACCUACACGGCAUACGUAGCAGAUGGAUUUAUCUGCUUGUAUUCAUGUGCUAGGCCAGCCUUAUAUGUAACAGGAGGAAGAGCUCAUGUCAUUGGAGGAUGGGAGUUGACAGGGCCGAAUAAGAAUGUUGUAUGGUGCACCAGAUUACAAUAUUAGAAGAUGCGCUGGGCCAGGUGACCAUAACAUUCUCUCUCCGCUUUCCGCCUUUUGAACCCUAAUUUGUUUCCCCGCCUCCACCUUUUAGUCUUGUGGGGCAACUAGUUUUGGGCACUAGUGACUUGAUUCAGCUUGAGUUCCCUUUGGAGUUUAGCCGUCCCACCUUCACUGCCUCGUCUCGGAGGUACGUACGUACCACCCAACCUGUCGAUAGAACCCCUGCAAAAGUGUCCACUCCAGGAUCCAAAGCAUGUGGAAUUAAACGUGCUUGCCAAUUCCCGCAUUAUGUCCAUACAUAUCUCUCCGGUUCAUACAGAGACUGUUUUUGUGGUUGACACCAAUCUUAUGGACUUGCACAUAUGCCCAGUAAGAGUCACUAGUUAGAACUGUGGGUAUAGGAUUUUGUGAAGAUGGAGUGGUAUAUAUAAAGGGCGAGAUACAUGGAGAACAUUACUCACGCAAGUGUGGGUGUUUGGUGGAGUCUUCAUUUCUUCUCCACGAGAUGAAUGCUCACGGCCUGCUCUAGCCUGCAUGUGUGGUUCUUUAUAUGCUGGUAACUUGAUAGGCACCCCUAUCUUCGGAGGGAUAUUUCAAACCUAAUUAUUAGUAUAGAAAAUGGUUUCACUAUUGUGUUGACUCUCUUGACCUUGUUUACCUCCAUAUAUAUAUGGUCACCUUUGUACAUCGGCUUUAACCUUCUAUGUCUUUGAUGUGCUUUGUCCCUCUUGUACAAUGUUUUGUUGGGGUUCAUAAAAGGAGGAUGUGCUCCGACAGUAAGACAAUUAGCUUGUUUGCCACACUGUUAUUUAUAGGUUGGCAUGGAGUUAUCCUCAAAAUGAUCUAUAUGCUACAUGUUUUUUACUUUGGGGAUGGUGACAGCCAGUUGUUACUGCUUUUAUUGUAAGAUGCUGAUGGGUCCCAAAUCAACCAGGCAGCCUAAUAGUCCUACUUUUUUAUUAUUCCUCCUUGUGCCUAAGCAUCAUAAUAAUGCUAAAGUUUACUUUGUUCAAAUUGGUCAGAAUGAGUCUGACCAUAUUUUUUCCCAAUCCCACGACACAUCAGAAAGUAAUUUGUGGGCAUCACACCGGAUAAUUUCCAUAACUAUGUGGUAUUAGAAGUUUUAUUAGAGAUCUUAGAGACACUCUAUAUUAGGAUUAUUGAUUGAUUGUCUUUCCCCUUUUGCUUCUUGUUUUAUAAAAGCUUUCAUAAAGGUAUCCUCCUAUUAUAUGAACCCCAAAAAAAACCCAGCAUUGUACAACAGGGAGAAAGCAAGUUGAAGAGAGAGAACGGGGAAGGCAAUGUACAAAAGUUCCCAUACAUGGAGGUAAAAAAAGGCAAGUGAGUCAACACAACAUACGGGCCCAGGCCACUUCGGUAAGUAAUAUACGGGCCCCUCAUCGAACACUCCCCUUAAGAGGGGUGAUAGACAUCUAUCAUUCCUAUCUUGUCACAUGCUAGAUUGCAUUCUUUAGUUCCCAAUCCUUUAGCCAAGCAGUCAGCAAUCUGCUACCUGGAACUCACAUGCUCAAUUUGACGAUCCCGGCGUCAUGUUUGAUUCUAGCAUGUUGCAUUGGAGCGUGUGCUAUGUUGAUUGAUGAUUGGUUAUCACACCACACAUUCAUAUAGUUAGUCUUCAAUAUCUUUAGUUCUUGUAAUAAAUUUCUGGUCCAUAACAUCACACUUAGCCAUUUAGCCAUAACUAUAUAUUCGGCCUCAGCAGUCGACCUAGACACAACAAUCAGAUUCUUACUUCUCCAGGAUACUAAGUUCCCACCAACAAAGACACAAAAUCGCAAAGUUGAUCUACGAUCAUCUAGGCAACUUGCUCGAUCCGCAUCACAAUAUCCAUCAACCAGGAGAUGCAUGUUACUUGAUAAUAAUAGUCCCCUUCUUGGAGUUCUGUUCAAGCACCUCCGAAUUCUGUAUGAUCACUCUUUGGUUCAUGCAUAUACCCCCUUACAUAUAUCUGCUUAUACCACACUUACUGCAAAGGCAAUGUUAGGGUGUGUAUGACGUAAGUACAACAACCUCCCAACUAAUCUUUGAUAUCUCUCCUUAUUGACUGGCUCUCCUGACUGAGUUGUCACUUUGUGGUUUUGAUCAAUUGGAGUUGAUGCUGCCCGACAUCCUAUCACUCCUACAUCGCUUAGGAGAUCUGAAGUAUACUUCAUCUGAGAUAGCGCAAUCCUUCGGCAGACCAGGCCACCUCUUUGCCCAAGAAGUAUUUGAGUCGGCCAAGAUCAUUCACUUCAAAGGCCUUACCCAAACACUUUUCCAGCCUUGCUAUUUUUUUCUUCGUCAUCCCCUAUGUUAAUAAUAUCAUCCACCUAUACAUCAAGUAUAGUGUUUUCCCUUUUUCAUGUCUUUAGGACAGUGUAUGAUCACCAUUACAAUGCCCAUACCCAUAUUACAUACAACAUGUUUGAACUUGUCGAACCAUGCUCUUGGAGAAUGUUUCAGACUAUAAAUAGCUUUUGUUUUUUGACCUAUAAAGAGCUUUCUUGAACCUGCAUACCUUUCAGCAGUCUGUGAAGUAGCUAGAGAACCUAGGUGGGAUCUUCAUGUUGACAUCUUUGGAGGAGGGGAGUUAAUAGGCCACAAUAUUUGGAGGAUGAGAGUUGAUAGGCCAAAUUAGAAUGUUGAGGUCCUUUAUGGAGCGUUGCUUGUUUCAUGAAAAAUAAAAAUGAUGGACAAGACUAAGAUUCCAGAAGAUGCACUAGAUGACGGCAAAAUUCUUUCCUCGCUUUUCGAUGCCAGUUCGUCAUGUGAACCCUAAUUUCACUCCUCGCCUCGCGCACAACCAUUGCCAAUGCAUCAGUGAAUCAAUUUAGGUUGAACAACCUUGUGCGGAACUUACUAGUUCCGCAUUGCUUACUUAUUAGUCAGCAAUCCCAUGAUUAAUUGUCAUCACAUUAGCAAUCCUAGAGACCAAACGAGCUUCCAUCAUCUAAUAACUAAGAUUAGUGAUGUUGUCACUAAUCAACCAAGAGAAGCCAACUGAAAGAAUCAUAAAGAAGCUUUGUGUGCCUAGCAAAGCACUAGUGGCCCAUUAGAAAAGCACGGACAAGCUGGGCUGGGUUGGGCCUAGAACUAGCAAGAAGGCUGUUUCCUCAACCGUAUACUUAAUUACCCAGCGAUAAGCUCUGCCGCUUAUUCAUUUUUAGUCUCUUCAUUGCCGUCUCACCAUGAUGUUCUCGAGCAUCGAUGAGCAACGGAAGAGAUCGCGCUGCUAGACAUAGACCGGCACACCAUGUUCAUCGUGGUGCUGUGCCGGUGGAGGCUGAGCUGUUGCCACCGGCACCCUCCAUCGUCAACACUAGGCCCAUGUGCUCGGCUUCUUUGCCGGUACAUUUGACAAAAAAAUGUGGCGUAAUCCAUGUGUGUACAUAGACUAGGUCUACAUGCUCUGUCAAUUCCCUGGUAGGUAUGCAUGCUUAACUCUAACAUUGCUUGUAUAUUUUUCUUUUCAUCCCCUGUUCUAAAGGGCUUGUGUGACAUUGUGCUAUUGUUGCAUGACAUUGUGCUAAAAUCCAGAAAAUGAUCAAGAUCCAGGAGAAGGGGAAAACCGAAUGUGCAUUGCUAUAGAGUAGUUACGUGUAUGUGUCAGCUGGUACACUAGACCCAGUAGCCGACCCAUAUGCAUCCAUGUGGAAGAAGAGUGAGAGAGUAGAGAUAUAAAAUAGUAAGACCAUGGAUAAUGGAAACCCAUGUGUAAGGUUAGUAGGGAGCUAGCCUGGCUCAUCACUUUGGUGUGAAGGCGGCCCCGGCCUGCAGUAGUGACUUAAUUCAGCUUGAGUCCCCUAUGGAGCUUAGCAGUCCGGCCUGCCUUGCCCUGUCUAAGAGACAUUGCCCACAAAACUGCGACUUACCUCAUGUGCUAACAUGUACGCCCAAUAAGAGGAUCACUAGUUGGAAGUAUAGAUGGAGGAGAAAUAUAGUUUGGUGAAGAUGGAGUGAUAUAUGUAAAGGGCGAGAUGCACUAAGAGCAUUAAUGAUUACUCAUAAAAAUUUGGAGUCUUCAAUCCUUCUCCUCGAGAUGAUUGCUCACAGCAUGUUGGGUGUGGUCCUUUAUAUGUUGUAACUUGGUAAUCACUUAGACUUUGGAGGGUCGAUUCAAAUAUAAUUAUGAGUAAAGAAAUUUGCUUCACUAUUUGGUUGACUCCCUUGACCUUGUUGUAUAUACCUCCUCCUGUACAGUGCCUCCCCUCUUUUGGGUCGCCCACAUGCUUUAUCCCUCUUGUGUAAUGUUGUUUUAUAUAUUGGUUCAAUAACACAAAGUUAACUUGUUUGCCAUACUAUAAUUUGUAGUUUGUCCUCUUAUCGAGAAACAGAUUUAUUUGUUACUUAUUUCACUAUGGAGAAGGUGACAACAUGUUAUUGUUUUCUGAAGAGGCCGGUAGGUUGUUAAUG